AGCUAUUGAAUUCCUGUGGAAUCUUCUGAACAGUUUCAGCUGUGAAGGCAAAGAAAUCAACAAACAAAAUCCUCAAGGCUAUUCUUGUGAAGCUGCCAAGCAUGUUUGACCUAAGAAGAAAUAAGACGGACUUCCAUUACCCUGAUAUCUUACAUCAUAUCACAUGAAAGAACUUCCACUAAUAAAAUCUUAAGAAGGUGAUCCAUUCAGAAUGACUUCAACAUCACAGCAGCGCGAAGAUAUAUUAGCAUGGAUGACAAUUUGAACUCAUAUGACUCUGAAGAGAAGUCCAUUUUAAAAUGUCAAAACAAUUCAUUUCAAAUAAGGAAAAUGGAAUAGAUCAAAUCCAAAACC
Molecule: non-coding RNA, 354 nt
Organism: Meleagris gallopavo (turkey)
Lineage: Eukaryota; Metazoa; Chordata; Aves; Galliformes; Phasianidae
Source: RefSeq, a predicted model, not a curated record